GCGCCCGUAGCUCAAUUGAUAGAGUACUUGACUACGAAUCAAGCGGUUAGAGGUUCGAGUCCUCUCGGGCGCGCCA
RNAcentral lists this transfer RNA (76 nucleotides) under Planococcus salinarum. RNAcentral's name for it is "tRNA-Arg". It matches the Rfam family "tRNA". Rfam says of the family: Transfer RNA (tRNA) molecules are approximately 80 nucleotides in length. Their secondary structure includes four short double-helical elements and three loops (D, anti-codon, and T loops). Further hydrogen bonds mediate the characteristic L-shaped molecular structure. tRNAs have two regions of fundamental functional importance: the anti-codon, which is responsible for specific mRNA codon recognition, and the 3' end, to which the tRNAs corresponding amino acid is attached (by aminoacyl-tRNA synthetases). tRNAs cope with the degeneracy of the genetic code in two manners: having more than one tRNA (with a specific anti-codon) for a particular amino acid; and 'wobble' base-pairing, i.e. permitting non-standard base-pairing at the 3rd anti-codon position. The record is from RNAcentral. Lineage: Bacteria; Bacillati; Bacillota; Bacilli; Caryophanales; Caryophanaceae.